GUGCCCGUAGCUCAGUUGGUAGAGCACUCCCCUUUUAAGGGAGUUGUCCUCGGUUCGAACCCGAGCGGGCAUACCA
Molecule: transfer RNA, 76 nt
Filed under: Candidatus Pelagibacteraceae bacterium
Lineage: Bacteria; Pseudomonadati; Pseudomonadota; Alphaproteobacteria; Candidatus Pelagibacterales; Candidatus Pelagibacteraceae
Description: tRNA-Lys
Rfam family: tRNA
About the family: Transfer RNA (tRNA) molecules are approximately 80 nucleotides in length.
Source: RNAcentral